RNAcentral lists this long non-coding RNA (781 nucleotides) under Sinocyclocheilus anshuiensis. Its description in RNAcentral is "lncRNA (ENSSANG00000005223.1)". The record is from RNAcentral. Lineage: Eukaryota; Metazoa; Chordata; Actinopteri; Cypriniformes; Cyprinidae.
CAGGCAAACACUAGGAAACAGGAACAGAACAUAAUGUGACAAAUGUGUAACUCAAAUACCAAUGCAUAAAAGUUGGGCUCGGCUGUUUGAUGGAUUUGUUCUUUCUAGUAGAACUCAAAAUGAAAACAGAGACAUUUUGUUUCUCAUCCAGGCCGGAGAAAUGUAAUGGUAACCACUGUAAUUCAACAGACGAUCACUCCACACACCAUGGCAACUGUUGCCACGAGACAAAUAGCGAUGACAACAAGGUUUAGACUCAGUCCCGGGCUUACGGUGACCUCUGAAAUCCGCAGGGGCCCCUGGGAGAUGAAGUGACUGGCGCUCUGGAUGGGAGCCUCUCUUUUGUGAUGGUGGUGGGACGGUGGAGCGACUGUGCUGUUGACGCAGCCCUGAGAGCAGCGGGUGUUGGGAUUGUUCGCCUGGUAUAUGAUGAUUGAGCAGCUGAUGAACACCUAGAGAGGGAAGUGAGGAAGACGAAAAGAUAAGAGACAGUGACAGAAGACAGGGUUAAACAGAAAUAUUUCUAUUUUAUUUUACUUGUAGAGAUGUGCUGUAUUCUCUUAUGGAGUCUAUAUCAGAGUAUAUGAGAAGAAACCUCACUUUCAGAAAAACACUUAAAACAUGUUAGCAGCCCUUAAUGCAACUGCAUGACAGCAAAACUUCACCACAUAUUAAACACAGUGUCACUAGACCAUUUGCCGUCAGAAUGAAAGAUGACAUUUUUUAAAUAUUAUUAAAAAUCAAACAAUAAUAAAAAAUGACAAACGCAAGCUAGGGGCGA